CACGUAGGGCGCAAGCGUUGUCCGGAAUUAUUGGGCGUAAAGAGCUCGUAGGCGGUCUGUUACGUCUGCUGUGAAAACCCGGGGCUUAACCCUGGGCUUGCAGUGGAUACGGGCAGACUAGAGGCAGGUAGGGGAGAAUGGAAUUCCCGGUGUAGCGGUGAAAUGCGCAGAUAUCAGGAGGAACACCGGUGGCGAAGGCGGGUCUCUGGGCCGAUACUGACGCUGAGGAGCGAAAGCAUGGGGAGCGAACAGG
This 253-nucleotide ribosomal RNA is filed under the name uncultured bacterium. RNAcentral describes it as "partial 16S ribosomal RNA". It matches the Rfam family "Bacterial small subunit ribosomal RNA", at positions 524 to 776 of the family's 1533-position model. The record is from RNAcentral.